Molecule: long non-coding RNA, 868 nt
Organism: Harmonia axyridis
Lineage: Eukaryota; Metazoa; Arthropoda; Insecta; Coleoptera; Coccinellidae
Exons: 2
Source: RefSeq, a predicted model, not a curated record
GACUUAAUAAACCACAGUGGCGACAAGCAUGGUCUUGUUUUUGGUUGGAUGAGCCUAAAUAUGGCGGCGCUUCUUCUCCAUCUACCUGAUUUUUGGGAUUUAUUCAAAAUGUAAGGCCCAUUUCAUAUAGUAACUGUAGUAUUCUUCAGUUAAAUAAAUUCGUUCUAUAUACAAUCGAAUACUAUCAGGCCCAAUAAUUUAGAUUUUGACAUGUGUCAGUUCAGUUCAGUCAAUUGUAUUUUUAAGUUCUAUGUCCCCAUUCGCCAUUUUUUGGCUGAAUUUGAAAGAACUGUCGCCACUAUAUUUAAUUAAGUCAAUCACGAGUGACUCGGCUGAUGAAUUCAAUCGAGACGUACGGAUAUAUUGUGAAUUGACCUUUAGUGAACAGCGUAGGUUUUUGGGACUCCCCUGAUCUCGAGGCUCCAAAGCGUGCGCUUAUUGCGCCUAUAUGGGGAUCCACCUCUGAUUCAAGCUGUAACAGGUUACAUGUCAAAAAUCAAUGCUACCAAUUUGACAAACUCAGUAUGAUGGUUAAAACAAACAUUUCUAAACAAAGUAUUCAACUUCAAUGACUAUUUAAUUAUGUACCUGAUCGUUUCUGGAUUCUUGAGAUUGACCAUCCUGGACUCUGUGAGAAGAUGGUGGGACCCAGCGUCGCUUGGCGGGUUGGACGUCGUCCUGGCCCGAAACACGAGCUUGUGGCCCCGUUUGCCUGGGGCUCUCCGUGUUGGAAGUUGAGCAACUCACGACAGUGACUGUGCCGCGCUCUGGAUUUUGUAUUUCCAAAAUUUCUUGUUAGACUUUUCCCUGUAAACUGUUACAGACGAAUUUUAAUAAAGAGAACUUGCAAAUUUAUUUAAUCAGAAGA